UUCCUACGGGAGGCAGCAGUGGGGAAUUUUGGACAAUGGGGGCAACCCUGAUCCAGCCAUUCCGCGUGAGUGAAGAAGGCCUUCGGGUUGUAAAGCUCUUUCGCAAGGGAAGAAAACUUAUGAUCGAAUAAAUCAUGAGGUUGACGGUACCUUGAUAGACCUCG
Molecule: ribosomal RNA, 164 nt
Filed under: uncultured beta proteobacterium
Lineage: Bacteria; Pseudomonadati; Pseudomonadota; Betaproteobacteria
Description: partial 16S ribosomal RNA
Rfam family: Bacterial small subunit ribosomal RNA
Source: RNAcentral